GAUGAACGCUGGCGGCGUGCCUAAUACAUGCAAGUCGAACGCGAAAGUGGAGCAAUCCAUGAGUAGAGUGGCAAACGGGUGAGUAACACGUGGGUGACCUGCCUUAGAGUGGGGGAUAACGUCCCGAAAGGGACGCUAAUACCGCAUAACAUGCUGCCUUUUAAGAGGUGGACAUCAAAGCCGGGGACCGCAAGGCCUGGCGCUUAAAGAGGGGCCCGCGCCUGAUUAGCUAGUUGGUGGGGUAAUGGCUCACCAAGGCAACGAUCAGUAUCCGGCCUGAGAGGGCGGACGGACACACUGGGACUGAGACACGGCCCAGACUCCUACGGGAGGCAGCAGUGGGGAAUUGUUCGCAAUGGGCGCAAGCCUGACGACGCAACGCCGCGUGGAGGAUGAAGAUCUUCGGGUUGUAAACUCCUUUCGAUCGAGACGAAUGGCCCUUGGGCUAACAUCCUGAGGGAGUGACGGUACCGAGAGAAGAAGCCCCGGCUAACUCCGUGCC
RNAcentral lists this ribosomal RNA (502 nucleotides) under uncultured bacterium. Its description in RNAcentral is "bacterial SSU rRNA". It matches the Rfam family "Bacterial small subunit ribosomal RNA", at positions 28 to 509 of the family's 1533-position model. The record is from RNAcentral.